RNAcentral lists this ribosomal RNA (730 nucleotides) under uncultured bacterium. RNAcentral's name for it is "bacterial SSU rRNA". It matches the Rfam family "Bacterial small subunit ribosomal RNA", at positions 771 to 1501 of the family's 1533-position model. The record is from RNAcentral.
AACAGGAUUAGAUACCCUGGUAGUCCACGCCGUAAACGAUGUCGACUUGGAGGUUGUUCCCUUGAGGAGUGGCUUCCGGAGCUAACGCGUUAAGUCGACCGCCUGGGGAGUACGGCCGCAAGGUUAAAACUCAAAUGAAUUGACGGGGGCCCGCACAAGCGGUGGAGCAUGUGGUUUAAUUCGAUGCAACGCGAAGAACCUUACCUACUCUUGACAUCCAGAGAACUUUCCAGAGAUGGAUUGGUGCCUUCGGGAACUCUGAGACAGGUGCUGCAUGGCUGUCGUCAGCUCGUGUUGUGAAAUGUUGUGUUAAGUCCCGCAACGAGCGCAACCCUUAUCCUUUGUUGCCAGCGAUUCGGUCGGGAACUCAAAGGAGACUGCCGGUGAUAAACCGGAGGAAGGUGGGGAUGACGUCAAGUCAUCAUGGCCCUUACGAGUAGGGCUACACACGUGCUACAAUGGCGCAUACAAAGAGAAGCGACCUCGCGAGAGCAAGCGGACCUCACAAAGUGCGUCGUAGUCCGGAUCGGAGUCUGCAACUCGACUCCGUGAAGUCGGAAUCGCUAGUAAUCGUGGAUCAGAAUGCCACGGUGAAUACGUUCCCGGGCCUUGUACACACCGCCCGUCACACCAUGGGAGUGGGUUGCAAAAGAAGUAGGUAGCUUAACCUUCGGGAGGGCGCUUACCACUUUGUGAUUCAUGACUGGGGUGAAGUCGUAACAAGGUAACC